RNAcentral lists this transfer RNA (72 nucleotides) under Daphnia pulex (common water flea). It matches the Rfam family "tRNA". From Rfam's summary of the family: Transfer RNA (tRNA) molecules are approximately 80 nucleotides in length. Their secondary structure includes four short double-helical elements and three loops (D, anti-codon, and T loops). Lineage: Eukaryota; Metazoa; Arthropoda; Branchiopoda; Diplostraca; Daphniidae. The record is from Rfam by way of RNAcentral.
GGGGUUGUAACUCAGUGGUAGAGUGUCCGCUUUGCAUGCGAAAAGCCCGGAGUUUAAUCCUCCGCAACUCCA